This 954-nucleotide long non-coding RNA is filed under the name Marmota monax (woodchuck). The record is from RNAcentral. Lineage: Eukaryota; Metazoa; Chordata; Mammalia; Rodentia; Sciuridae.
GAAAGGGCAGCUUUGUUGAAAAAUGUCUCUUUAGAAACUCAAGGGAAAAAGAAUUGCAAAUGUUUGCCAGGUGUAGAUUGAUGGCAGUGGGAAUAUAGGUAUUUGUAAUAAGAAGACAUUUUACUGAGGAGGAUAAUAGAAUAUCUAGAAACAAUGCAAGUUUGUGAGCCUGUCAUCUUAAGUUACACUGAGGGAGUUAUAAAAACAGUGAAGAAAAUUCCCCUAAAUAGCAGUUGGAUUGAAGUAUCUAUUUUAGGUGUAAGUAAAUAAAUCCUUUUCACACACUCUCCUGUCCUCCAGCUGUGAAAACUGGUAUCUUUCAUGAUUCUGGGCAAGAGUGAGUGGAGGGCAUUUUUUUGUUUGUUUUGUUUUUGUGGUACUGGGAAUUGAACCUGGUGGUGCUCUACCAUUGAGCCACAUCCCCAGCCCUUUUCAUUUUGAGACAGGGACUCACUAAGUUGCCCAGGCUGGCCUUGAACUUGUGAUCCUCCUGCCUCAGUCUUCUGAGUAGUGGAUGUCUGCCACUGUGUCUAGCUGGAUGGCAUUUUUAAGAAGGUAAUUAAUUUGUAAGAUGUUGUCAAUAAAAAUAAGAACAAAGUGAGAUAUAGGAUAGUUUGUCCCACUGUGGAGUAACUUUUAUGUGCUAAACUGUGCUUGGCACACAGCACUUAGUGAGCAAAUAAUUGAAUCGUAUUUCUUCAUAGUAUAAGAGAGAGUUAAUUUCCUGAAACAAGCCUCAUUUGUUCUAACUAUUUUCCUGAUAUAUCUUACUAUGGCUAGUUCUGUGACCUAAGUACCUAUGUGGGUAUACCAUGGUUUGGAGUGUUUUGCCAACAUUUAAAACAGUUGCCAAAUGAAAUAGAGGAUCCCUAGUUAAGUUUGAAUUUCAGGUAAACAAAAUUGUUUUAAUAUAAGUGUGUCCCAAAUACUGCCAACAGCAUUGCUUCUGUUCCC